UGAGGAAUAUUGGACAAUGGGCGAAAGCCUGAUCCAGCCAUGCCGCGUGUGUGAAGAAGGCCUUUUGGUUGUAAAGCACUUUAAGUGGGGAGGAAAAGCUUAUGGUUAAUACCCAUAAGCCCUGACGUUACCCACAGAAUAAGCACCGGCUAACUCUGUGCCAGCAGCCGCGGUAAUACAGAGGGUGCAAGCGUUAAUCGGAAUUACUGGGCGUAAAGCGCGCGUAGGUGGUUAUUUAAGUCAGAUGUGAAAGCCCCGGGCUUAACCUGGGAACUGCAUCUGAUACUGGAUAACUAGAGUAGGUGAGAGGGGAGUAGAAUUCCAGGUGUAGCGGUGAAAUGCGUAGAGAUCUGGAGGAAUACCGAUGGCGAAGGCAGCUCCCUGGUAUCAUACUGACACUGAGGUGCGAAAGCGUGGGUAGCAAACAGGAUUAGAUACCCUGGUAGUCCACGCCGUAAACGAUGUCUACCAGUCGUUGGGUCUUUUAAAGACUUAGUGACGCAGUUAACGCAAUAAGUAGACCGCCUGGGGAGUACGGCCGCAAGGUUA
Molecule: ribosomal RNA, 549 nt
Filed under: uncultured bacterium
Lineage: Bacteria
Description: bacterial SSU rRNA
Rfam family: Bacterial small subunit ribosomal RNA
Source: RNAcentral